ACUCCUACGGGAGGCAGCAGUAGGGAAUCUUCCACAAUGGGCGCAAGCCUGAUGGAGCAACACCGCGUGAGUGAAGAAGGGUUUCGGCUCGUAAAGCUCUGUUGUUAAAGAAGAACACGUAUGAGAGUAACUGUUCAUACGUUGACGGUAUUUAACCAGAAAGUCACGGCUAACUACGUGCCAGCAGCCGCGGUAAUACGUAGGUGGCAAGCGUUAUCCGGAUUUAUUGGGCGUAAAGAGAGUGCAGGCGGUUUUCUAGGUCUGAUGUGAAAGCCUUCGGCUUAACCGGAGAAGUGCAUCGGAAACUGGAUAACUUGAGUGCAGAAGAGGGUAGUGGAACUCCAUGUGUAGCGGUGGAAUGCGUAGAUAUAUGGAAGAACACCAGUGGCGAAGGCGGCUACCUGGUCUGCAACUGACGCUGAGACUCGAAAGCAUGGGUAGCGAACAGGAUUAGAUACCCUGGUAGGAUAGCG
This 473-nucleotide ribosomal RNA is filed under the name uncultured bacterium. RNAcentral describes it as "bacterial SSU rRNA". It matches the Rfam family "Bacterial small subunit ribosomal RNA", at positions 335 to 801 of the family's 1533-position model. The record is from RNAcentral.